This 3208-nucleotide long non-coding RNA is filed under the name Musa acuminata (dwarf banana). RNAcentral's name for it is "long non-coding RNA (MACU_LNC007402)". Lineage: Eukaryota; Viridiplantae; Streptophyta; Magnoliopsida; Zingiberales; Musaceae. The record is from RNAcentral.
AAUCUCUAGCUCGGCUUAGGUUAUAGAGGGAGGAGAUUUACGGAUAAGUUUAGCGUCGCGAUCUAUUGAAUGAAAGGCAGGAAUGAAUGGACGGAUUGCUUGAUCUAAAAUAGGAUCUAUCUUUCUUUGUUACCGUGACAGAUGCUAGGAAGAGAAAGCUUAUCAUUGUUUGGUUCCGCGGGGCCACACCCUAUCGAGAGCAGGAUGAUCACCAAAGUCAACCAUCGCGUCAGCCCUUGAGAGUAAGGGGUUUGCAAGUGACUCCUCCUCCCGACAGUACAUCAGCCCUUUUCCAGUCCCCCCUCCGCUCGGGAGAUUAGGCUUUCAGCACCUUCUUUUUCUCGCUCACAUGGCACUACAGUGUACAGGGUAUUAUGCACUUUCUCCAUAAUCAAAGCAAAAGCACUAACAAGAUGAAGGCUCGGAUUCUCGAUGCAGGGAAUACAGGGAAAACAACCCUCUGUCCCUUAAUCCUCUGAUGGGCAUGUCCCUCAGAUAGGGUAAAGAAACAAUAGGUACUUCUAACUAUGCAAUCAAUAGAAUAUCUAAAUAAACGAAAGCCACAUCAGGCCUGCACCCACAGAGCAACACUUUGGAAUAGAAAAAUCCCCCCUAGUGCAUUGGGAUGCCGUUGAAACGAAACCCGAUCAUUCACGGACACGAUCUUUAUUGCUUUCUUUCUUUACCACGUGUAUAUUGCUUUAGUGGACUCUUUUGAAUAUCAGCACGCUCUAAACCAGAUGUUGCUUGGCCCUAUUACCUUACUGCCGGUGCUUUCAUUCCUAUUGUUACAACCGCUUCCCGCUUCAUGCAGAAACCCUUAACAGCGGCUUCUUAUCCUUAAGCCUGAAGCUGUAUGCUGUGCUCUCAUUCUGUCCUCUCCUACUGCUAGCUCUCAAACAGCUCUUACCGGUAAACAGUAGCCGAAACAAUCUUCUAACAUUGGUCAAGAGGGUAGGAAGUAUCCAAGGAUAUAAAAUGAAUGUUGCUUCACUUGGAUAGAAAAGACGACAUCAGCCAUAUGUAUCAAUUGGAAAGAAAGCAGACAUCCAUCCCUUUUCAUCCUAUGCCGAUACACUGUAAGGUUCGACUAAGCAUUCACAGUAGAUAAGACGUAAGCUGGGAUUUAUAUAAUAUUCAUUCGUCCAUGACAUACUACCACCUAUUGAUAGAUCCACCUUCAUGCCUACCACCUAUUGAUAGAUCCACCUUCAUUCCCUUCUUCCUAUGGUUAGUGGAGCCUUUACCAUCUUAAUCUUAUUAUUAUUGUAUACUAUUUGGUUUGCAAUGUAGUCCCAGACCUAAUAAAUGUAAUCGCUGGACCUGCUAUUGCAUGUUUAUGAUCAGCUCUCUCAUCUUUCACUGCUAGGUUUCCGUCCGCUACGCUAGCCUAUUUCGUAGUUUCAGGUGGUUAAAUACUGCCUUCGCUUCGAUCCGUUGACCCGGGCAACCUCGCCCCUCAUCGCUUGUUCGAGAGCUAGAACAAACAACACCGGUUAGAUUCGAUUGCUAGCCAGGGGAAGGGGAUAUCCUUUCUAUUGGUAAGUUCUUAGCAGAUAUAAAAGAAAGGUGCACAAAGCUACGUGCGUGGGCUAUAAGAACUAACGCUAUAGGCUCACGCGAACUCACUCCCGGCCAUAUAAGACCAAACACUAACAUACCUGGCAGUGUCUCAUGUUUCUUUCAUCGCGUAAUACAGUCUUAAGCCAAUGUUUGAUAUAGAGUAAUACUGUCUUCCGCCAAGCUGCUAAUCCCUAGAGCUAGAGAAAUAAGAAGUCCGGGUUGGCAAAGUCAACUUCACUUCCUUAUAGCUAGAGCUAGAGAAAUAAGAAGUCCGGGUUGGCAAAGUCAACUUCCUUAUAGAUUAGCAGUUUUUACAAGAAAGGAGUUUCACUUAUACAUUCGUUUUUCAAAGAGUGGAUUAGAGGGUUAGCAUGGAAUUACUUAAGUGGAUUAGAGGGUUAGCAUGGAAUUACUUAAGAAUGAGCACGAUUACUUCAAAAUAGACUGAGCACGAGGCUUACAUACUCGGAUUGUAGGGUUCCUCAGCCCAUUACGUUCAAGCUGAGCACGCUUAUUCACAUGAGAAAGAUGAUAGCAUAGAUUAUACCUUCCAUGAGAAAGAUGAUAGCAUAGAUUAUACCUUCUUGGGACCUGCCUUAAUCCAUUUCCAUCCUUGGCUGAAACUAGAAGUGACUAUAAGCCUUUUCUUCCUAUUGUUUGAUCUUAAUGGCGAUCCCCUGAUGUUCAUGCCAUGUAGAACGAGGUAGGUAUUUACAAAUUCCGUAGCAGCUGUAAGCCCUCCUCCUUCCAUGUGGCACCGCGCUCCCGAUCUCCAAGUCUUCUCUUCGGGGUAACCCUUCCAAAAGCACGUCCUCUGACCUCUUUAAGAAACCGACAAGUAACAGCUAACCAACCUUUACUUAAAUGGAAAGGAUGAGACCAAAGUCCCAAUACCUAAAACCAAUCACACUAUAAUAUAACCUCUUCCAAAUAGGAUAUCUACAGGGGCAGUCAAAUCAGAAUGAGGGAAAGGACGGAAUCCGCAGCUAGUGGGCUAGCGCCGAAGGAUUCUCACUCUCCAAGCAAGAAAGGGCAAGCAAGGUGCUGAAAGCCUACUAAAUAGGAAUGCUGCCACUACUGAUAAGGCUGAAAUCACUACCGGAAAGAGCUGGACUGGGAACUCGGGAGCUAACUACUGAUCUGGAUCUUUGUCUGUUUGCUUUUCAACUGAUACUCAUGACAGUUAAGUUAGCCUUACACCCUUCCUUUACUUAUUUGAUUGACUUAUUUGAGAAUAUGUUUUCGUAUCUCAAUCCAGUACUGCUAUAUUAUUAGCUUUAUUCUCUAUUAGGUGUUUCUGUCUUAUUGGUAGCAUUUGCAUUCUUUAUAGCAUUGGUUUGACUCCGCUAUUAGUAGCUGGGUUCCCACUUCUUAGUGUAAGUAUUAGAAACUUAGUGUAAGUAUUAGAAACACUCUUUCCCGCUCUCUUGGUCUGUAACUCCCAACCCUGAAACUGAUACCCUUGCCUUCCAUUCUGUAGGGAACCCUCGCCAGAGGUUCUUCCAAUCAUAUCUUUGACUCUUACUUAUUCAUUUCAUUAUUCAUUUAAGUUACUCAGUUCACUUAUAUGAUAUUGAUUAGUCAGUUAUUAAGUAUAGAGGUCAACAAACAGCAAGUACUAUUUCGAUUUUAUGAUCCAAAACCU